UACGAAGGUGGCAAGCGUUGUUCGGAUUUACUGGGCGUACAGGGUGCGUAGGCGGUUGGGUAAGCCCUCCGUGAAAUCUCCGGGCCUAACCCGGGAAGUGCGGAGGGGACUGCUCGGCUAGAGGAUGGGAGAGGAGCGCGGAAUUCCCGGUGUAGCGGUGAAAUGCGUAGAGAUCGGGAGGAAGGCCGGUGGCGAAGGCGGCGCUCUGGAACAUUUCUGACGCUGAGGCUCGAAAGCGUGGGGAGCAAACAGG
RNAcentral lists this ribosomal RNA (253 nucleotides) under uncultured bacterium. Its description in RNAcentral is "partial 16S ribosomal RNA". It matches the Rfam family "Bacterial small subunit ribosomal RNA", at positions 524 to 776 of the family's 1533-position model. The record is from RNAcentral.